This 1695-nucleotide small RNA is filed under the name Pan troglodytes (chimpanzee). RNAcentral describes it as "retained intron". The record is from RNAcentral. Lineage: Eukaryota; Metazoa; Chordata; Mammalia; Primates; Hominidae.
CUUGCCACAGCCCCACCCAUCCAGCCGUACCCCCUGGGUGCCAGCUGCAGACAGGCCGGUGCUGGGCUGGUGGGGGCCAGUUGCUCAUGUACUGAGGCCCCCCUCCCUCAGUUCUGCAUCGGGGUCGAGAUGUGUACAGCAGCCCCUGCCCUGGCCAGGAAGCAGCUGUGUCGGGGCAGAAUGUGGUGGGCUCAGGCCCAGGGCACAGGGGCGGCCUCCCAGCCUUCCCUGCACUUGCCCUGCAGUUCCAGGGCACCUGGUACAUGGUCGGGGUGGUGUCAGAUGACCAGGACUUCCUGGACUCCAAGGACACCAUGAAGAUGGCUGUGGUCUUAGUGACCCCCUUGGGGAACGGUGACCUGGCCCUCAAGUUUGGAUACCCCACGUAAGUGACCACACGAGCCCAUCAGACUCAGCCUCAGAGGAGGGCCAGCAUGAGGCCAGAUGAAGGUCCAGAGGGACCACGGUGUCCCCAGCACAUUGAGGUCAGACCACGGGUCCUCGACGGCUCUGUGCGGCAGAGCCCCAGAUGGCAGCCACACGGAGUCCAGAGGGACCCAGGCCCUGGAGGAAGCACUGCCUGAGGCCUGGUGUUGAGAAAAGUGUCUGCAUGUCUGUGUCUUUGUGUGUAUCACUGUAUGUGGCUGUGUCUCUCUGUGUGUCUAUUUCUGCAUGUGUGUGUGUCUGUGUGUGCGUGUGUAUGCAUGUGUGUCUUCUGUGUAGAUGUGUACCUCUGAGUGUGUAUGUGUGUAUCACUGUAUGCGUCUGUGUGUCUGUGUAUCUGUGUCUGGCUGUGUGUGUCUAUCUCUGUGUGUGUCUUGUGUGCAUGUCUAUGUGUGUGUGUGUCAGUGUAUCUGUGUCUGUGUCUAUCUCCGUGUGUGUGCAUGUGUGUAUGUGUGUGUCUUCUGUGUGUCUGUGUCUGGAAGGGGGACCUGGAGGCCCUGCAUUCUAGGCUGUGUGCCUGUGAACAGGUACUUAAUACCCACCCCACCCCCAGCAGGAGUGUCCCCACCUCUAAGGUCAUCCUAAAGUCCCAUGUCCUCUAAGGAUUGUGAGGGUGAACAGGGGACCCUGGGCUCAGAGACAGCAAGGUAGGCUCUGGGCCUGGGCGCUGGGCAGGGGUGGCCACUCAGGGGACUGGGGCUCUUUCUCCCCAGGCCCGAUGGCGGGUGCCAGAAAAUGGACACGACCUUCACCAAGGGUGCUGUACCGGGGCAGUUCAGCAACCCAGCUCGAGCGCCCGAGCUGUUUCCCGAAGGCGCCCAGAAGAUGCAGCUACUGGCGCCCCAAGUGGGCCUGAGCCCCAGCCAGGGCGUCCUGCUGCCGAAGUCGGACCAGUGUGCGGGCGCGCUCUCCCGGGUGAGUAGACCAUGGCCAUGCGGAGCCGCGGACCAUGGGCCCUCCCAGCUCGGUGGGCUGCACCGCGGGGCCCUCUACCUUCGGGGCAGCUAGGGACGACAGCGGGGGUGAUGGGGCACCCGGGCGGAUACGAGCCGCAGCAGCCUGGGGAACCGCGGGGCUGCGCGUCGGGAAGGGGCGGAGGCAGGGGACGCCCCCCACCUGCUCCUUGUUUUGCAGUGAGGGGUCCAGCCCCUGAGUGCCCGCAGGGGUCAGCUGCUCCGUGCGCCCAGCCCUCCCCAAAGAGCCCCCUCCCUCCACACCCUGGCCCCAAGCGCAAUAAACACCCUGAAUGCC